UGUUAUACAUAAGGCUGCUAUGAACAUG
Molecule: non-coding RNA, 28 nt
Filed under: Mus musculus (house mouse)
Lineage: Eukaryota; Metazoa; Chordata; Mammalia; Rodentia; Muridae
Source: RNAcentral